Molecule: unclassified non-coding RNA, 87 nt
Filed under: Pseudomonas libanensis
Lineage: Bacteria; Pseudomonadati; Pseudomonadota; Gammaproteobacteria; Pseudomonadales; Pseudomonadaceae
Source: RNAcentral
UGUGGGAGCUGGCUUGCCUGCGAUGCAGGCAACUCGGUCGGUCAGCCAGACCCAGUUGAUGCUAUCGCAGGCAAGCCAGCUCCCACA